GGUAAUUUCUGACAAGACCCGACUGGCAACACUGCAAAUAAUCACUAGUGGUCAUACGCCAACGUCACUCGCCCGAAGCCAUAAAAAAGAAAACAAAAACUUCCGGUUCCGGAAGAAAAAACAGCCAAGUGUUUUGCACUUUUGCAGCAUACUCUCUUUUGAUCUGUGUUUUGCAGUGCACAAAAUCAGUGGUAGAACGUAGAACCUACAAGUUUUUUUGUUUUGCACGGUGUUUUAUUUAAUAAACGCUUCUGUUGUGCGAAUUGGACGCGUGACGUGCUGAAGAUUAAAGACUUUGCAUAAUGGAAUCAAAAAAAUUUUUUUUGGUUACAUUUUUAGAUGAAGAUGAUGCUCCUGGCAUAGUUUCAUCAAAGUGGUUAAGAUACCAACACUUGUUAUUACCCUAAUGUAUGCACUGAAGAAAUCAAAAACAAACUUGAAGAAGAUGCCUGCACCUGAAGCAACAUGGUCACAAUAUCAAAUAAAAAUACUUAAAAGUUAUGAAACUUAUGGCGAAGCACGAUUACAUUUAAAAAAAGCGGAAGAAACCUGAAAUUUGGACUCAGACGAAGCAGAAAAUGAUGUUACAAAUGAAGUGACAGUGGACAUAAUGUCUGCUGUAAAUUACCCAGUCACCUCCGGUUCUAAAGAGGCCAAGCAAACACAACUCAAAGCUGUUAACUGCCAAUCAGAGUGCAUUACAAACAAGCAAUAUGCUAUACAGCAGAGUCAUAUGAUUCAGAUUGUGUCAGACCUAGCUAACCAAAUGGCUGAAAUCAAUAGAAAAUUGGAUUUACCGUUAGCUAGGUCCGAAGAAACAUUUUCACCAACAGAUGACAAUGCAGGUCUUUCAGAACUUUUGGCAAGUCUACCAGUAAAGAUAUUGCAAGUUUUAAUAAUUUCGAUGACCAUUUAAAAAUAAACAAGAAUACAGGCAAUAAUGUCAUUUUUGUCUGGUAUUGGCGGCAGAAAUGUAAGAAGCCUUACGACUAAUAUGUUGAGACGAAUAAUUCUAGAUGAUGUAGCCGAGUUGUAUUCGUUAACUGGGAAACAGAUGAAAAAUUCGAAUAAAAAGUCAUUUAUGAGUACAGAAACCUAUAAAUUAAUCUUUCAAAUAUGUAGAAAAAUCAACGAAGAUGUAACUGAAGACAGUCUAAAAGAAAUUAUAAGUGAUUGGCUAAAUCAAGCUAAAGUUAGACUUUCAAGAAGAGCAGAAACACAAAAUAAAGAAAAAAACCAAUAGCGGCGACCAUGAAACCGAUUUUUUCUCAUUUAAAGUAAGAUAAGAUAAAAGUAUAAAUAAUAAAAAAAUAUAUGUUA
Long non-coding RNA from Ostrinia nubilalis (European corn borer), 1320 nucleotides. RefSeq lists it as uncharacterized. NCBI's taxonomy places the organism in Eukaryota, Metazoa, Arthropoda, Insecta, Lepidoptera, Crambidae. The record is from RefSeq and is a predicted model, not a curated record. The transcript has 7 exons.